This 800-nucleotide ribosomal RNA is filed under the name uncultured bacterium. RNAcentral describes it as "bacterial SSU rRNA". It matches the Rfam family "Bacterial small subunit ribosomal RNA", at positions 432 to 1224 of the family's 1533-position model. The record is from RNAcentral.
UCUGUUGUUAGGGAAGAACAAGUGCUAGUUGAAUAAGCUGGCACCUUGACGGUACCUAACCAGAAAGCCACGGCUAACUACGUGCCAGCAGCCGCGGUAAUACGUAGGUGGCAAGCGUUAUCCGGAAUUAUUGGGCGUAAAGCGCGCGCAGGUGGUUUCUUAAGUCUGAUGUGAAAGCCCACGGCUCAACCGUGGAGGGUCAUUGGAAACUGGGAGACUUGAGUGCAGAAGAGGAAAGUGGAAUUCCAUGUGUAGCGGUGAAAUGCGUAGAGAUAUGGAGGAACACCAGUGGCGAAGGCGACUUUCUGGUCUGUAACUGACACUGAGGCGCGAAAGCGUGGGGAGCAAACAGGAUUAGAUACCCUGGUAGUCCACGCCGUAAACGAUGAGUGCUAAGUGUUAGAGGGUUUCCGCCCUUUAGUGCUGAAGUUAACGCAUUAAGCACUCCGCCUGGGGAGUACGGCUGCAAGGCUGAAACUCAAAGGAAUUGACGGGGGCCCGCACAAGCGGUGGAGCAUGCGGUUUAAUUCGAAGCAACGCGAAGAACCUUACCAGGUCUUGACAUCCUCUGACAACCCUAGAGAUAGGGCUUCUCCUUCGGGAGCAGAGUGACAGGUGGUGCAUGGUUGUCGUCAGCUCGUGUCGUGAGAUGUUGGGUUAAGUCCCGCAACGAGCGCAACCCUUGAUCUUAGUUGCCAUCAUUUAGUUGGGCACUCUAAGGUGACUGCCGGUGACAAACCGGAGGAAGGUGGGGAUGACGUCAAAUCAUCAUGCCCCUUAUGACCUGGGCUACACACGUG